AACGAACGCUGGCGCCAUGCCUAACACAUGCAAGUCGAACGAGACCUUCGGGUCUAGUGGCGCACGGGUGCGUAACGCGUGGGAACCUGCCCUUAGGUUCGGAAUAACUCCCCGAAAGGGGUGCUAAUACCGGAUAAUGUCUUCGGACCAAAGAUUUAUCGCCUUUGGAUGGGCCCGCGUUGGAUUAGCUAGUUGGUAGGGUAAAAGCCUACCAAGGCGACGAUCCAUAGCUGGUCUGAGAGGAUGAUCAGCCACACUGGGACUGAGACACGGCCCAGACUCCUACGGGAGGCAGCAGUGGGGAAUAUUGGACAAUGGGCGAAAGCCUGAUCCAGCAAUGCCGCGUGAGUGAUGAAGGCCUUAGGGUUGUAAAGCUCUUUUACCCGGGAUGAUAAUGACAGUACCGGGAGAAUAAGCUCCGGCUAACUCCGUG
Molecule: ribosomal RNA, 433 nt
Filed under: uncultured bacterium
Lineage: Bacteria
Description: partial 16S ribosomal RNA
Rfam family: Bacterial small subunit ribosomal RNA
Source: RNAcentral